This is a long non-coding RNA of Solanum verrucosum, 138 nucleotides long. RefSeq lists it as uncharacterized. The transcript has 2 exons. Lineage: Eukaryota; Viridiplantae; Streptophyta; Magnoliopsida; Solanales; Solanaceae. The record is from RefSeq and is a predicted model, not a curated record.
AUAGUUCCAUAAACCAUCGUUGUAAGAAUUUUAUUCUAGCUCCUAAGGUAUCUGUUAAUUCUUCUUCAUUCCAACUUUUUAUUACUUUUGAAUUAAAAGGUUCUGGUAAUUUUGUAAAAUAUAAUUUUCUUAUUUCUU